RNAcentral lists this ribosomal RNA (260 nucleotides) under uncultured Synechococcus sp. RNAcentral's name for it is "partial 16S ribosomal RNA". It matches the Rfam family "Bacterial small subunit ribosomal RNA", at positions 1278 to 1533 of the family's 1533-position model. Lineage: Bacteria; Bacillati; Cyanobacteriota; Cyanophyceae; Synechococcales; Synechococcaceae. The record is from RNAcentral.
UAACCGUGGCUCAGUUCAGAUCGUAGGCUGCAACUCGCCUACGUGAAGGAUGAAUCGCUAGUAAUCGCAGGUCAGCAUACUGCGGUGAAUACGUUCCCGGGCCUUGUACACACCGCCCGUCUCACCAUGGAAGUUGGCCACGCCCGAAGCCGUUACUCCGACCCUUGUGGUAGGAGGACGUCGAAGGUGGGGCUGAUGACUGGGGUGAAGUCGUAACAAGGUAGCCGUACCGGAAGGUGCGGCUGGAUCACCUCCUAACA